Molecule: long non-coding RNA, 808 nt
Organism: Panicum virgatum (switchgrass)
Lineage: Eukaryota; Viridiplantae; Streptophyta; Magnoliopsida; Poales; Poaceae
Exons: 2
Source: RefSeq, a predicted model, not a curated record
UGAGCUGGUAUGUAGACGACAUUUGUGAUGUUAGAGAGAUUGUAUAGGUAGAUGGGUGAAUUUAAUUAGAAUAAUAUACUAGUAGACUUCAAGAUAGCUGGAUUGGAGUUGGGGCAAUGGAGUCUAACUGAGUCAUCUAGGAAGCAGUUAAUUGACUCUAUUCAGACUUCUAAUUGGAUGUCAUCAAUGGGUUAUAUUAUUAGAAGCAAGGAUGGGACUGGUUGAACAAUCUUUGUUGGGAUAUUAGAUUAUACACGUCAUAGGCAGCCUAGGAGGUCAAUUAUCCAUACAGAACUGAAGUUAACUGUACUGUAUUGUGAUACAUCGAUCAACUUUGAACAUAUGCCAUCAAUAUGUAUUAGGCAUUUCUCUAUUCGUUAAAUGAAAUGGUUUAAUUGUAUUUGUAUUCUGUAUCUAUAUAUAAUUGUUGGUCAAACGUUUAUGUGAAUUAAGGCUGUAAAUUACUCGGGGCAAGGGCUGCAAUUUUACAGGGUUGGACUUGCUCAUCUUAUACAUGGCAGCAAAGAAGUGACAAAGGAAAAGGAGGAUAUAGAAUGGGAGGUUGUAGAAACAACAAAAGCUAAGCCGAACAGGGCCAGUGGAAGGAGCCUAUAAGCCUAAGAAGCUCACUCUAGAGGACGAACUGAAGAUAUGCUGCAUUCAUAGGUAGAAAAUGCAUCUCUGCUUUGACUGUAAUUUAGCGACUUUCGCAUUCACAGGCUUUGGAGCAAAAGGUUGACAUAAACAGCUACGACUACAAGCCCAUCCCAAGACCCAAUGAGAAAUAAAUAAAUGAGGCUAAGCAUCA